Molecule: small nucleolar RNA, 212 nt
Organism: Rhipicephalus sanguineus (brown dog tick)
Lineage: Eukaryota; Metazoa; Arthropoda; Arachnida; Ixodida; Ixodidae
Product: small nucleolar RNA U3
Exons: 1
Source: RefSeq, a predicted model, not a curated record
AAGAUCGUGCUUCAUAGGAUCAUUUCUAUAGUGCGAUCGCCGAGACGCAUCCGCGAUCUCGGAACACACUCGACCACGAUGAUGAGUCGAGGGUCUCCGCCUGAGCGUGAAGCCGGCUUCGAUACCUUGGGCUCGCCCGGGUUCCAGCCCUUGAUGACCGUUCUUCUGGCUUUAUGAGGCCUCGAGGAUGGCGGAGACUCAGCCUGAGUGGC